AUCUCUGUGUCGAAAUUGGUAAACGAGCUGUAUUAAGGGUGCAGUGAUGAAUAGUCUUGUGAGUUCAAGUCUCACCAGAGAUA
Molecule: transfer RNA, 83 nt
Filed under: Amoebidium parasiticum
Lineage: Eukaryota; Ichthyosporea; Ichthyophonida; Amoebidiaceae
Description: tRNA-Leu
Source: RNAcentral